CGGAGGGAGUAGCAAAAUCCUCUCGGUCACGACCACCCAAAUACACCUCCUUUUUGGCUUUCCCAGUUCCCACAAAGGAAUUUCCGAGAGAAAGGUCAAAGCAGAUGAAACGGACAUGAGCAUUCUUUUCCUGCAACUUCUGGUGUCGUUGUUUGCAAGCUAACCAUAAAGCGGACAGGCCCAACAACAACUCCUUAGCAAUUUGGAGAGUGGCUAGGUUGUAAAGCUGAGAAACUUCUUUGGAAGGAGAAAUGUCCUCAAAUAAGAAGUUCCACCAAACACAGCACUGAUGAGGAUAUUCAAAAGACAAAACCAACACCUUCUUGUCCCCUGGAUCUUCAGUCAACCAGUUUUUCAUUUAAUGGAUCAUUCUGUGAAAAGCUUUGUUAAUUUAUUUUGCAUGUGUUUGCAGCUGUUUGGACUUUUAAGAAUACAUGAGAAGAUGGUUUGGGUUGCUCAAAAUCCCGUUGUACUUGGCCCAUGUUAGUCAACUGAUAAAUAAUCUGGUCAGAAAAAGUCAGUGCAUACAAUGCUUAUUGUAAAAUGUAUUUGAGAUGAGAAAGAAAUCAUAAUUUCUCUGAUUUGCUCUAUUUACUCUUCAAA
Long non-coding RNA from Neltuma alba, 603 nucleotides. RefSeq lists it as uncharacterized. The record is from RefSeq and is a predicted model, not a curated record. NCBI's taxonomy places the organism in Eukaryota, Viridiplantae, Streptophyta, Magnoliopsida, Fabales, Fabaceae. The transcript has 2 exons.